UACGUUGGGUGCGAGCGUUAAUCGGAAUUACUAGGCGUAAAGCGUGCGCAGGCGGUUUUGUAAGCCAGAUGUGAAAUCCCCGGGCUCAACCUGGGAAUGGCAUUUGGGACUGCAAGGCUGGAGUGUGGCAGAGGGGACUAGAAUUCCUGGUGUAGCAGUGAAAUGCGUAGAUAUCAGGAGGAAUACCGAUGGCGAAGGCAGGUCCCUGGGCUAACACUGACGCUCAUGCACGAAAGCGUGGGGAGCAAACAGG
RNAcentral lists this ribosomal RNA (253 nucleotides) under uncultured bacterium. Its description in RNAcentral is "partial 16S ribosomal RNA". It matches the Rfam family "Bacterial small subunit ribosomal RNA", at positions 524 to 776 of the family's 1533-position model. The record is from RNAcentral.